GCCAUCCCCAACAUUCUGCUCUUCCAUCGGCAUCACCCCAUCCGAGCUGCUGGGUAUCUUCACUUGGGGACACCGUCGGGAAUUUCCAGUGUGUCUGGAAGUGGCCUCCCUAGUUAUGGAUGGUACACCUGUAGGGGCUCCCAUCCCCUUCUCACCUGGGUGCUGUCAGCCCUCACUCUCCUAUUGGAUCAACUGUCCUGUUCACUGAGUCUCAACACUGUCACCUGUUGUAUUAGCAAGGUGCGCUUGGCCAAGCCGCCCCAAACAGCCCUCUGAGAACAGAGCCUCCUUGUAGCUGCCUCAGACCCAAUUUGUACAUUGUACACAACAGCCCAGGUAGGGAGGACAGCUGCCCCAGGUCCCAUAGGGCUGCAUGCCUCAAGCCCACGUCAUGCAGAGCCACUCAGCUCACCCUGCUCAGGGCAUGUGGUCUACCUGUGUUCCCCUCUUGCGGGUCCUACGUGUGGAGGACAUACCAUCUGACCUCUGCAGGAGAGAAACUCACGGAAGAUAGAAAGAAGCUCCAAGACUACGGCAUCCGGAAUCGAGACGAGGUUUCCUUCAUCAAAAAGCUGAGGCAAAAGUGAGCCUCCAGACAGGACAACCCUCUUCAUCACUGGUGGCUGAGCUUUUUCCCAGCAGGAAUGGGUCCUCGAGUCAUCGUGCCUCUUUCACAGAAAGGACGUUGUGGUGGCCUCACCCCAGGCAUGCCCAACAGGAACUGUCAGCAUCAACCUGGGGGCCCUCAGGACUAGGACAGGGUGAGCCAGUGCUCCCUCCUUUCAUGUACUUGGCCUGAGACUGACCUCUCCCUGGGUCCAAAUGCCCUAGUCACAUGGCAGACCCACGGCCUGGCCCAGUGUAUAAAAUAAACCUGUUUGCUUCUUAGUUUGAAAAGUAAAAACCCACAGUAACUUGGGUAGCAAAGACAGAUUGCCCCAUCACAGAGGUGAGUUAAGGGGAGAGAAUUGGUACAGGCGAGUCCUAUAGUCCAAGAUGGCGCCACACCACCAAAGCCUUGAGGCCACGCCACUCCCCAAACCACACAACUGUGUUACCAUGAUCUCCACAGCAAGGAGGAAAUAAAAGCAGAGCGGCUUUA
Molecule: long non-coding RNA, 1102 nt
Organism: Gorilla gorilla gorilla (western lowland gorilla)
Lineage: Eukaryota; Metazoa; Chordata; Mammalia; Primates; Hominidae
Exons: 2
Source: RefSeq, a predicted model, not a curated record